RNAcentral lists this ribosomal RNA (253 nucleotides) under uncultured bacterium. Its description in RNAcentral is "partial 16S ribosomal RNA". It matches the Rfam family "Bacterial small subunit ribosomal RNA", at positions 524 to 776 of the family's 1533-position model. The record is from RNAcentral.
UACAUGUGGGGCAAGCGUUGUUCGGAAUUACUGGGCAUAAGGGGUGCGUAGGCGGCUUGUUAAGUCAGGGGUGAAAGUUUUCGGCCCAACCGGAAAAUUGCCUUUGAUACUGGCGAGCUGGAGUGCGUGAGGGGUGACCGGAACGAGUGGUGUAGCGGUGAAAUGCGUAGAUAUCGAGAGGAACACCUGCGGCGAAGGCGGGUUGCUGGGCUGAUACUGACGCUGAGGAGCGAAAGCGUGGGGAGCAAACAGG